RNAcentral lists this ribosomal RNA (465 nucleotides) under uncultured bacterium. RNAcentral describes it as "partial 16S ribosomal RNA". It matches the Rfam family "Bacterial small subunit ribosomal RNA", at positions 30 to 507 of the family's 1533-position model. The record is from RNAcentral.
CGAACGCUGGCGGCGUGCUUAACACAUGCACAUCGAACGGCAAGGCCUCUUUCGGGGGGUACUCGAGUGGCGAACGGGUGAGUAACACGUGAGUAACCUGCCCUUGACUUUGGGAUAACUUCAGGAAACUGGGGCUAAUACCGGAUAGGAGCUCCUGCUGCAUGGUGGGGGUUGGAAAGUUUCGGCGGUUGGGGAUGGACUCGCGGCUUAUCAGCUUGUUGGUGGGGUAGUGGCUUACCAAGGCUUUGACGGGUAGCCGGCCUGAGAGGGUGACCGGCCACAUUGGGACUGAGAUACGGCCCAGACUCCUACGGGAGGCAGCAGUGGGGAAUAUUGCACAAUGGGUGGAAGCCUGAUGCAGCAACGCCGUGUGCGGGAUGACGGCCUUCGGGUUGUAAACCGCUUUCGCUCAUGACGAAGCUUUGUGUGACGGUAGUGGGUAAAGAAGCACCGGCUAACUACGUG